AAUACGAAGGGGGCUAGCGUUGUUCGGAAUUACUGGGCGUAAAGGGCGCGUAGGCGGUGUGUCAAGUCAGGCGUGAAAGCCCCGGGCUCAACCUGGGAACCGCGCUUGAGACUGGCACGCUCGAGUUCGGGAGAGGAUGGUGGAAUUCCCAGUGUAGAGGUGAAAUUCGUAGAUAUUGGGAAGAACACCGAUGGCGAAGGCAGCCAUCUGGACCGACACUGACGCUGAGGCGCGAAAGCGUGGGGAGCAAACAG
This 254-nucleotide ribosomal RNA is filed under the name uncultured prokaryote. RNAcentral's name for it is "partial 16S ribosomal RNA". It matches the Rfam family "Bacterial small subunit ribosomal RNA", at positions 522 to 775 of the family's 1533-position model. The record is from RNAcentral.